This 500-nucleotide ribosomal RNA is filed under the name uncultured bacterium. Its description in RNAcentral is "partial 16S ribosomal RNA". It matches the Rfam family "Bacterial small subunit ribosomal RNA", at positions 30 to 523 of the family's 1533-position model. The record is from RNAcentral.
AUUGAACGCUGGCGGCAUGCUUUACACAUGCAAGUCGAACGGUAACAGGGAGCUUGCUCCGCUGACGAGUGGCGAACGGGUGAGUAAUAUAUCGGAACGUACCCAGAAGUGGGGGAUAACGAAGCGAAAGUUACGAUAAUACCGCAUACGAUCCACGGAUGAAAGUAGGGGACCUUCGGGCCUUAUGCUUUUGGAGCGGCCGAUAUCUGAUUAGCUAGUUGGUGAGGUAAAGGCUCACCAAGGCGACGAUCAGUAGCUGGUCUGAGAGGACGACCAGCCACACUGAAACUGAGACACGGUCCAGACUCCUACGGGAGACAGCAGUGGGGAAUUUUGGACAAGGGGCGCAAGCCUGAUCCAGCAAUGCCGCGUGAGUGAAGAAGGCCUUCGGGUUGUAAAGCUCUUUCGUCAGGGAAGAAACGGCUGUGGCUAAUAUCCACGGCUAAUGACGGUACCUGAAGAAUAAGCACCGGCUAACUACGUGCCAGCAGCCGCGGUAA